Molecule: long non-coding RNA, 652 nt
Filed under: Helianthus annuus (common sunflower)
Lineage: Eukaryota; Viridiplantae; Streptophyta; Magnoliopsida; Asterales; Asteraceae
Description: hypothetical non coding rna
Source: RNAcentral
GUGUGUGUGUCUGCGUACGAUCGCAGGAGAAGGGGGAAAAGGGGGUGUAAACCCUAACCACAAAAAAAUCAUCAAUUGAAAAGGAAAUCGCGGGUUGAUUGUGUGCAUGAACCAAGAAUGAUGAUCCCUUAAGCGUUUCUCACAUCAAGAACGUGUCAAGGAGAGGUCAAGCAUAGGAGGAUAGCGGGUCAAGAUAAGGCAAGGUGACAAAUACACUUAUUGGAGUACUCGAGGAAGGAACAUUGGCAUGUAUGAAGGUAUGGGAUCGUUGGCUUCAUGAAGAAAUGGAGCUGGAUUUGGAUAAGAGUAUUUAAGAAAGCGCUUGGACAAUUCCACGACUACUUUAUAGAAUGCUCUACGAAAUUUUAUUAUAUAGUUUAAUGUUGAAUGGUAUGUUGAUGACUAAUGGUUUGGUUGUACGUGGUGUCCACAGGUAUCGCUUGGGUUUUCUCUACAUUUAUUGAAGUGAAGCGGACUUAGUUCGAGUUGAGAGCAAGGAUUGUACGGGGUAGAAUGGUCACAUAGUGUAACUCAUAUAGGUUUUGAAGUAUUAAUGUUAUAAAACGUUAUAAAUCCGUUUUAAUGAAUAUAUGGCAUUUCGCAUUUGAACCUUCAUGUGUUUGAUAUGUCUAUUAAAGAACGAAAUUUUUGG